This 393-nucleotide ribosomal RNA is filed under the name uncultured bacterium. RNAcentral's name for it is "partial 16S ribosomal RNA". It matches the Rfam family "Bacterial small subunit ribosomal RNA", at positions 523 to 918 of the family's 1533-position model. The record is from RNAcentral.
AUACGGAGGAUCCGAGCGUUAUCCGGAUUUAUUGGGUUUAAAGGGUGCGCAGGCGGGAGAUUAAGUCGGCGGUGAAAUUUUGCCGCUCAACUUUAAAAGUGCCUUCGAAACUGGGUUCCUUGAGUGUAGAUGAAGGAGGCGGAAUUUGUGGUGUAGCGGUGAAAUGCAUAGAUAUCACGAGGAACUCCGAUUGCGCAGGCAGCUUACUAAACUACUACUGACGCUCAGGCACGAAGGCGUGGGGAUCAAACAGGAUUAGAUACCCUGGUAGUCCACGCAGUAAACGAUGAUUACUAGCUGUUUGCGAUACAAUGUAAGCGGCUGAGCGAAAGCGUUAAGUAAUCCACCUGGGGAGUACGUUCGCAAGAAUGAAACUCAAAUGAAUUGACGGGG